Molecule: ribosomal RNA, 648 nt
Filed under: uncultured organism
Description: bacterial SSU rRNA
Rfam family: Bacterial small subunit ribosomal RNA
Source: RNAcentral
AAGGCGAAAGCUAGGGGAGCGAACGGGAUUAGAAACCCCGAUAGUCCUAGCCGUAAACGAUGGAUGCCGGCUGUGGGGGGUAUAGAUUCACCUCAGGGCCCGAAGCUUACGCGUUAAGCAUCCGGCCUGGGGACUACGGCCGCAAGGCUAAAACUCAAACGAAGUGACGGGUCCCCGCACAAGCAGCGGAGCGCGUGGUCCAAUUCGAUGCUACACCGAAGAACCUUACCUGGGUUUGACAUGCAAGUAGUAGUGAAGCGAAAGCGGAUACGACCGUUCUGGGGAGCUUGCACAGGUGCUGCAUGGCCAUCGUCAGCUCGUGCCGUGAGGUGUCGGGUUAAGUCCCGUAACGAGCGCAACCCUUGCCCUCAGUGUAUACGUGUCUAAGGGGACUGCCCGGGACAAAUGGGAGGAAGGUGGGGAUGACGUCAUAGUCAGCAUGGCCUUUAUAUGCAGGGCGACACAUACGCUACAAUGGCCGGUACAAUGGAUUGCCAAGCCGUGAGGCGGAGCCAAUCCCGCAAAGCUGGUCUAAGUUCGGAUUGUGGGACUGCAACUCGCCCACAUGAAGCUGGAGUGGCUAGUAGCCGCGCGUCAGCCAUAGUGCGGUGAAUACGUUCCCGGGGAUGUACACACCGCCCGUCACGU